This 1308-nucleotide ribosomal RNA is filed under the name Triticum aestivum (bread wheat). Its description in RNAcentral is "partial small subunit ribosomal RNA". The record is from RNAcentral. Lineage: Eukaryota; Viridiplantae; Streptophyta; Magnoliopsida; Poales; Poaceae.
GGUCUUGAGAGGAGGGCAGGAGGAAUAGAGGUCCGGCCUGCUCUGGCGUCGGCGUCGCAGGUGAGGCAGGCUGGAUCCCAAGACGCGGCGGCGGGGGACGAGGGNUCCUAUACGGAGCAAUACUACUAGCAAUACCUUUGCGUGCGGACAUACAACCAUCUAACAGAAGGGCAUGAGCAAGCGCGCUGGAUCUUAUAGAAAAGUCGUUUAUACCUUCUUAUGCCCUUCACCUUAACUUCGCGCUGAUACGUAAGUAACUUAUGUCACUAGGAGCACUACGACUACUACGGGCUAUGUUAGAUCUACCGUCCCUACAACUACCCUCGGCGUAAUAACAACUCAAACGAUUUCCCCAAGGUGCACCAAGACCACCAAGUGCUCUUGCACUUAUACACCCUUCUCCGGGAGGAGGUCCUUGUCCGGCAACAAAGUUGACACCAUAACUACCAGUGACCCGGUCCCUGACGUUCCGACCACUGACCUUCUUGUUUACGAUGGCGACACCUCUUUCCCCGGUAUAUCUUUCUUUAACGGUCUUAUCAGGCUCCUCAGAGUCCGCACUCUCUUCGAUAAGUGCCAGGGGUAGAGGUGCAGCACCUGCCCGGGCGUCAGCCUCGAUGUCGUCUUCGGCAUCAAUGUCGGCUAGAUCCAGGUCUAGAAUAAGACUUAGAGGGUCUCCCGCGGCGUGUCUCGCACUACUCUCCUCUAGUUCCUCGUAGUCGAUGUCGUCCUCGGGGUCCGCUAGUGAGAGGGGUCUUCGAUUCCUUUACCUAGCGUCGGGGUGUGGACUAGCGUCAGCCUCGGGGUCCGCUAGGUAGAGUGGACAUCGUUUCCUAUUACCACUAUCGGGAGCCCCGUCCCUAUUCUCGUCCUCGGGAAGACUACCGAUGGCGUCGGGACACCGGUUACCCGCGUCAGGUUCGGGACGAUUGUUACCGUUAGGGUCAGGAUGGUCCCUGUUGUUCCCGUCAGGUUCGGGCUCCCAGUUGUUACCAUCGGGAUCAGGGUUCCCGUUACCGCUACCACCGUCGGGUUCAGGUUCCCCGUUACCACUGCUACUACCGGCAGCGCCGAGUCCGAGUGGAUCUCCUUCUUCGCACAGAGGGACUUUGUACCUUGGUAAAAGGUAAAAGACGAGCGAUGUACACCAACACUGUCAUGUAAAGUUCAAAUUCUGCAAACAGUCACUUAAAGGAUGGACAAAGAACUUGGACAAUAAAUCAAGGACCUGCUGAGUCUUCCAAACAAUGAUACCAAUAAUACAACACGCAUUACCUAACUAUUAUGAUAAGUCAUCGUAUUCCUAUA